This 255-nucleotide ribosomal RNA is filed under the name uncultured bacterium. RNAcentral's name for it is "partial 16S ribosomal RNA". It matches the Rfam family "Bacterial small subunit ribosomal RNA", at positions 793 to 1055 of the family's 1533-position model. The record is from RNAcentral.
GUCCACGCCCUAACGAUGUCUACUAGUUGUUGGGUAGCAAUACCUCAGUGACGCAGCUAACGCGUGAAGUAGACCGCCUGGGAGUACGGUCGCAAGAUUAAACUCAAGGAAUUGACGGGCCCGCACAAGCGGUGGAUUAUGUGGAUUAAUUCGAUGCAACGCGAAACCUUACCUGGCCUUGACAUGCCACUAACGAAGCAGAGAUGCAUUAGGUGCCCGAAAGGGAAGUGGACACAGGUGCUGCAUGGCUGUCGU